RNAcentral lists this transfer RNA (62 nucleotides) under Phoronopsis harmeri. RNAcentral's name for it is "tRNA-Thr". Lineage: Eukaryota; Metazoa; Phoronida; Phoronidae. The record is from RNAcentral.
GCUUUAGAAGCUUUAAAGAAGCAUUGGUCUUGUAAACCAAAGAAUGGUGAUACCCUAAGGCU